UACGUAGGUGGCAAGCGUUGUCCGGAUUUAUUGGGCGUAAAGCGAGCGCAGGCGGUUUCUUAAGUCUGAUGUGAAAGCCCUCGGCUCAACCGAGGAAGGUCAUUGGAAACUGGGGAACUUGAGUGCAGAAGAGGAGAGUGGAAUUCCAUAUGUAGCGGUGAAAUGCGUAGAUAUAUGGAGGAACACCAGUGGCGAAGGCGACUCUCUGGUCUGUAACUGACGCUGAAGCUCGAAAGCGUGGGGAGCAAACAGG
This 253-nucleotide ribosomal RNA is filed under the name uncultured bacterium. RNAcentral's name for it is "partial 16S ribosomal RNA". It matches the Rfam family "Bacterial small subunit ribosomal RNA", at positions 524 to 776 of the family's 1533-position model. The record is from RNAcentral.